Non-coding RNA from Nicotiana sylvestris (wood tobacco), 138 nucleotides. Lineage: Eukaryota; Viridiplantae; Streptophyta; Magnoliopsida; Solanales; Solanaceae. The record is from Rfam.
AAACUUACCUGAACAAGGUUCAAUGGGCGAUCAAGAAUGCCCAUGGCCUAGGUUGGUGGGCUCCAUUGCACUUUGGAGGGGUGCCCGUCUUAGUUCCGCCCAAGUGGCAGAGCCUACGUCAUAAUAUUUUCUUAAUUC